This 76-nucleotide transfer RNA is filed under the name Capsosiphon fulvescens. Its description in RNAcentral is "tRNA-Arg". It matches the Rfam family "tRNA". Rfam says of the family: Transfer RNA (tRNA) molecules are approximately 80 nucleotides in length. Their secondary structure includes four short double-helical elements and three loops (D, anti-codon, and T loops). The record is from RNAcentral. Lineage: Eukaryota; Viridiplantae; Chlorophyta; Ulvophyceae; Ulotrichales; Ulotrichaceae.
UGGGCUUGUAGCUCAGUGGACUAGAGCACUCGGCUACGAACCGAGGUGUCGGGGGUUCGAAUCCCUCCUUGCCCAA